RNAcentral lists this ribosomal RNA (371 nucleotides) under uncultured organism. RNAcentral's name for it is "bacterial SSU rRNA". It matches the Rfam family "Bacterial small subunit ribosomal RNA", at positions 526 to 896 of the family's 1533-position model. The record is from RNAcentral.
CAGAGGGGGCAAGCGUUGUCGGAAUUACUGGGCGUAAAGGGCGCGUAGGCGGCCUUCUAAGUCGAACGUGAAAUCCCCGGGCUCAACCCGGGAACUGCGUCCGAUACUGGAAGGCUUGAAUCCGGGAGAGGGAUGCGGAAUUCCAGGUGUAGCGGUGAAAUGCGUAGAUAUCUGGAGGAACACCGGUGGCGAAGGCGGCAUCCUGGACCGGUAUUGACGCUGAGGCGCGAAAGCCAGGGGAGCAAACGGGAUUAGAUACCCCGGUAGUCCUGGCCCUAAACGAUGAAUGCUUGGUGUGGCGGGUAUCGAUCCCUGCCGUGCCGAAGCUAACGCAUUAAGCAUUCCGCCUGGGGAGUACGGUCGCAAGGCUG